GAUGAACGCUGGCGGCGUGCCUAAUACAUGCAAGUCGAACGAACAGACGAGUUGCUUUCUGCUCUGAGUUUAGCAGCGGACAGGUGAUUAACACGUUGAGAGCCACCCUAUAACACUUUGAGGACUACUGCAAGCCAGAGCGAAUACCGCAGGAUAUUUUGGGCCUCAUGGUUCAAGGGUGUGAGACGGUUUUGCUUUCGCUGGUAGAUGGAUCCGCGCUGGAUUAGCUGGUUGGUAAGGUAACGGCUUACCAAGGCAGCGAUGCAUAGCCGACCUGAGAGGGUGAUCGGCCACAAUGGAACUGAGACAAGGCCCAGAAUCCUCCGGGAGGAAGCAGUAGGGAGUAUUACGGAACGAGCGGAGGAAUGAUGGAGCAACGCCGCGUGAGUGAUGAUGGUGGUCGGCUCGUAAAACACCGUUAUCAGGGAAGAAGAUAGGUGUAAGCAACUGUGCAUAUCUUGACGGUAGCUAGACAGAAAGCCACGGCUAACUACGUG
RNAcentral lists this ribosomal RNA (497 nucleotides) under uncultured bacterium. RNAcentral's name for it is "partial 16S ribosomal RNA". It matches the Rfam family "Bacterial small subunit ribosomal RNA", at positions 28 to 507 of the family's 1533-position model. The record is from RNAcentral.